Molecule: ribosomal RNA, 485 nt
Filed under: uncultured bacterium
Lineage: Bacteria
Description: partial 16S ribosomal RNA
Rfam family: Bacterial small subunit ribosomal RNA
Source: RNAcentral
AUUGAACGCUGGCGGCAGGCUUAACACAUGCAAGUCGAGCGGGGGAAGGUAGCUUGCUACCGGACCUAGCGGCGGACGGGUGAGUAAUGCUUAGGAAUCUGCCUAUUAGUGGGGGACAACAUCUCGAAAGGGAUGCUAAUACCGCAUACGUCCUACGGGAGAAAGCAGGGGAUCUUCGGACCUUGCGCUAAUAGAUGAGCCUAAGUCGGAUUAGCUAGUUGGUGGGGUAAAGGCCUACCAAGGCGACGAUCUGUAGCGGGUCUGAGAGGAUGAUCCGCCACACUGGGACUGAGACACGGCCCAGACUCCUACGGGAGGCAGCAGUGGGGAAGAUUGGACAAUGGGGGGAACCCUGAUCCAGCCAUGCCGCGUGUGUGAAGAAGGCCUUAUGGUUGUAAAGCACGUUAAGCGAGGAGGAGGCUACUUUAGUUAAUACCUAGAGAUAGUGGACGUUACUCGCAGAAUAAGCACCGGCUAACUCUGUG